This 251-nucleotide ribosomal RNA is filed under the name uncultured prokaryote. RNAcentral describes it as "partial 16S rRNA". It matches the Rfam family "Bacterial small subunit ribosomal RNA", at positions 525 to 775 of the family's 1533-position model. The record is from RNAcentral.
ACGUAGGAGGCGAACGUUAUCCGGAUUUACUGGGCGUAAAGCGCGUGUAGGUGGUUUGGUAAGUAGGGCGUGAAAGCUCCUGGCUCAACUGGGAGAGGCCGUUCUAAACUGCCGAACUAGAGGAUGGUAGAGGGAGGUGGAAUUCCGGGUGUAGCGGUGGAAUGCGCAGAUAUCCGGAGGAACACCGGUGGCGAAGGCGGCCUCCUGGACCAUUCCUGACGCUCAGACGCGAAAGCUAGGGUAGCAAACGG